RNAcentral lists this ribosomal RNA (495 nucleotides) under uncultured bacterium. RNAcentral describes it as "partial 16S ribosomal RNA". It matches the Rfam family "Bacterial small subunit ribosomal RNA", at positions 28 to 507 of the family's 1533-position model. The record is from RNAcentral.
GACGAACGCUGGCGGCGUGCCUAAUACAUGCAAGUAGAACGCUGAAGGAGGAGCUUGCUUCUCCGGAUGAGUUGCGAACGGGUGAGUAACGCGUAGGUAACCUGCCUGGUAGCGGGGGAUAACUAUUGGAAACGAUAGCUAAUACCGCAUAAGAGUAGAUGUCGCAUGACAUUUGCUUAAAAGGUGCAACUGCACCACUGCCAGAUGGACCUGCGUUGUAUUAGCUAGUUGGUGAGGUAACGGCUCACCAAGGCAACGAUACAUAGCCGACCUGAGAGGGUGAUCGGCCACACUGGGACUGGGACACGGCCCAGACUCCUACGGGAGGCAGCAGUAGGGAAUCUUCGGCAAUGGACGGAAGUCUGACCGAGCAACGCCGCGUGAGUGAAGAAGGUUUUCGGAUCGUAAAGCUCUGUUGUAAGAGAAGAACGAGUGUGAGAGUGGAAAGUUCACACUGUGACGGUAUCUUACCAGAAAGGGACGGCUAACUACGUG